RNAcentral lists this long non-coding RNA (1296 nucleotides) under Sus scrofa (pig). Its description in RNAcentral is "lncRNA (ENSSSCG00070016801.1)". The record is from RNAcentral. Lineage: Eukaryota; Metazoa; Chordata; Mammalia; Artiodactyla; Suidae.
UUAUGGAAUUCAAAGCCCAGAACAAUGGGCUCUAUUUAAUAUUAAACGUGUUCUUAAUAAGCCACAGUUUCUCUCCAGAGCUGUUGGAAGGUCCCUCUUGGGCAUCCAGAAUCGCUGUAACAGUUCCCGUGAAGUUGUAAGCAACUCCCCAAGACCAAGUCGUGUUAAAUUUAGAAGUCACUCGAAUCACCUGAUUGUCGGUGAGCCCCGAUCGAAGAAUUCCCAAGUCUAUCCUUGUCCUCCCAUCUCUCUUAUCUAGAUUUACAGACGCAGUUAUCCGCGUGGCUCGGGGUUCCCCGCCCGCAGCUCCUGGAACCUGGCCCGGCUGAGGACGCCCUUCUAGCGCCGGGAACUGGCGCUCACGGGGCACUCCCCCAAGCCGAUGCCUGGGCGCGACCUCCUGGCACUCCCCCCGCCUCCGACACUCAGCUGCCGACCCUUACGCCAAACUGGGGCGUGCCGCGAGCCUCGCCUUCUCUCCCAGGGUGCGGGGCCCCACCCCUUCCCCGUGUCCGCCAGUCCCCGGGCCCGCGGCGAGGGUAGGUGGACUUCCUGCCUGGCCUUAGCCGCCGCCUCCUUGGUCCUCGUCCUCCGGCGCCGGCGCUGCGGCGCGGGGCCGCGGUGGCGCGGGAACGCGGGGAUGCACUCUCGCGCGCGGGAGGGGUGACCCUGGGGACACGCGCGGCCGCGGGAGGGAGCGUGAGAGGGGGAACAAGGCUGGCUUGGCGAAAGGGGUCGCCCGGCGUUAUGAGGCGGGGGCGUCACCGGCCGGGGCCCUCCGCUGGCUCUCCUCCUUCCAGAGCUUUGCUGGCGCCUGGCACGGUGAAUGGGAAGAUGGAGAUGGAUGUUGAGGGAGUUUCUCCGCGCGAGGAUCCCAUCCCCCGCUCCCAGGGGGCUGGCGGAGCCUGCCAAGCGCCGCCACAGCCGCCCCAGCCCCAGCCCCCGCCGCCGCCGCAGCAGCCGGCUCCGGAUGAACCGCCCGGCGAGAGCGCGGGCACGGAGGACAGCGACGAUCCCGAUCCUGAGGCGAGACCUGACAGCGAGAAGGGAGAGAGCAAGCAGUUUCAAGGAGUGGCUGGAGAAGGGACAUACAGACUGAGUAGGGAAAGCUUGUCUGGCACAGCUGUGGAAGCAGAUGCUCAUGGAAGAGAGGCAGAGGUGAAGAUCAGAGGGGGGAAAGAAAAAAAAUCAAUAUUCUACCAUUCUUCUUUCAUCCCAAGGAAGUUGAAAGACUUUAGCUGCAAAGUGAGGAGAUCAGAAGAGAAACAGAUUCAUGAAAAAAUACCCCCAACUUAA